Molecule: ribosomal RNA, 611 nt
Filed under: Parabacteroides distasonis
Lineage: Bacteria; Pseudomonadati; Bacteroidota; Bacteroidia; Bacteroidales; Tannerellaceae
Description: bacterial SSU rRNA
Rfam family: Bacterial small subunit ribosomal RNA
Source: RNAcentral
UUUAUUGAGAGUUUGAUCCUGGCUCAGGACGAACGCUGGCGGCGUGCUUAACACAUGCAAGUCGAGCGAUGAAGUUCCUUCGGGAACGGAUUAGCGGCGGACGGGUGAGUAACACGUGGGUAACCUGCCUCAUAGAGGGGAAUAGCCUUUCGAAAGGAAGAUUAAUACCGCAUAAGAUUGUAGUGCCGCAUGGCAUAGCAAUUAAAGGAGUAAUCCGCUAUGAGAUGGACCCGCGUCGCAUUAGCUAGUUGGUGAGGUAACGGCUCACCAAGGCGACGAUGCGUAGCCGACCUGAGAGGGUGAUCGGCCACAUUGGGACUGAGACACGGCCCAGACUCCUACGGGAGGCAGCAGUGGGGAAUAUUGCACAAUGGGGGAAACCCUGAUGCAGCAACGCCGCGUGAGUGAUGACGGUCUUCGGAUUGUAAAGCUCUGUCUUCAGGGACGAUAAUGACGGUACCUGAGGAGGAAGCCACGGCUAACUACGUGCCAGCAGCCGCGGUAAUACGUAGGUGGCAAGCGUUGUCCGGAUUUACUGGGCGUAAAGGGAGCGUAGGUGGAUAUUUAAGUGGGAUGUGAAAUACUCGGGCUUAACCUGGGUGCUGCAUUCC